This 74-nucleotide transfer RNA is filed under the name Loxodonta africana (African savanna elephant). It matches the Rfam family "tRNA". Rfam says of the family: Transfer RNA (tRNA) molecules are approximately 80 nucleotides in length. Their secondary structure includes four short double-helical elements and three loops (D, anti-codon, and T loops). The record is from Rfam by way of RNAcentral. Lineage: Eukaryota; Metazoa; Chordata; Mammalia; Proboscidea; Elephantidae.
CCCUGUGUGGUGCAAACAGUUAACAUGUUCAGCUGCUACCUGAAAAUUUGGAGGUUCAAGUCCCCCCAGUGGCA